AAUCUGUUGUAAAACCCAUUCAAAACCCAUGAUGGAAAUUUUAAAUUUUUUCCUGCGUAUAUAUACACGGUAGAUUAAUACACCUUUCUCAUAAUAACUACUUUUAGUCAAUUCCAGCCACUGUGAACGAACUUUAAUUUGAUUACAAGUCUACUGUAUUGAAGCAACAUUCUUUAUCAGACUAUGACACUAAAUUGACUGACCCGGCCAAUGGGAAAGGAAAUAAAACAAAUAUUUUUUUAAGAAUAAAUAAUAUUUGGCAAUAACUACAUUCGGUUACCACAAAGAAACAUGAAAUUUUACUGCGAAAUAUUGACGUUAUGUGUAACUGCAUACAUGCAUUGCUAUUUAAGAUAGCUGGCACUCCAAUAUACAGCAGGCGUAGUGCAAGUUGGUAUGGUUAGGAUUAGCAUUUACAGACUGAAGUUUUAUUUCUUUUGACUUAUAAUGUCGAUAACUUUCUAUUUUUUCUGCUCACAACAAAAAUUUUCUGGAUGGCCUAAUAUAACUCACUUUUCAUUAUUUUGCCGUGGCUAAACUUUAGUUCAAUUAGAUUAAGACUUUCACGGCAUUUUUUUCAUCUCCAACAAGUGUAGAAUAUAUUCUACCAAUCUUGCAGAACGGAUUUAGUAAGAACCCCAUCAGCAACCAAACCUGAUCCAAACAAUAACCAAACACUAAUCCUUGAUCUUAUACCACAAUCUAACAGACCUAAUCCUAAUCUAAAUCAAACCCUAGUCAAAUCUUAAUCCAAACAGUAGACCUAUCUAGAACUGCUCUGAAUUUUAUGACACCAUGGGAUUAAAUUAAAAAAUCGCAUUUCAAAAACUCCACAGGAAGACUUCACAAUUGUGCUAUAAUUAUAAGAAGGUAUAUGAAAACAAAGACAAGCCAAAAUACAAGCGAAUCUAUCGCUGAAGGUUGUUUGGAUGCCAAAUGUCUGAUGAACGAACGAACGAAGAAAGAACCAAGAGAACAAAAUAUUUAUUGGAUUGAGUGUGUAUAAAGAAGAAUAAUACAGUCACUGAAACGAAUGAUGAGUUAGAGUAUGACCCUGGGUUAAAUUCAUAGAUCAUAACCAGAAAUGGCCAAACGCACAAUCGGAAUGUUUGGAAUCAUAUUAUAUGGAGUCAUUUUGGCAAUCGUCGAAGAGUGUUGAAAAACUGUAUUCGUAAUUAGAAAACGGUUCCCCACAUGAAUUGUAGCGAUGUUACCAGACUGCAGUUUAAUGCCAAAUGGACAUGACCAACGUAUGUCUACACUAAUACAGAAUAUGAAAUGCCAAGAUAUUUUUACGGAAGCUUCUCACAAAUAACAAUAUGUGUGAUUGGACAUGCAUGAUUUCGCGUUUGCCAAAAGUGAAAGAUGAUCGCGAAUGUGAAAACAACCGAUGAUCUCGUCAGAUAACGCUUACCACGAACUUUUCAAAUAAUAUCAUUAACGAUCUGAUCCUGUUCCGACAAAUCGAAAUGUUGAAACACGUACAGCUUUAAGCAACGUUAAUACAAUGCGAUUAAUCGGGAUGAUUUUAGGCUCGUUAUAACAAUAAUUAGCAAAUAUGACUAUACGUUUAAGCAUUAUCUGACGAUGUCAUCAGCCGAACAGCAAGUCGUUACAACGGUAUUCAAUAUAUGAGGGUGAAAUUUAAAAGGAAGAUAGGAUUCGAUCAUAUUGGUAAAAAUUUGAGGUUAAGAAAAGCCCAAAAACACAACCGAGCUUUAAUUUGUUAUAAAUAAGUCAGAGCUUAGAAUUAAAAAACGCGCGAAAUUCAUUUGUUUCUCAUUGGUUCAUUUCAACGUUUAUCUCAUUGGUUGUCACGAACGCACGUGUCCAUGCAGCCAUCACAUGAACUCCUCUUUCCUUUUUCACUUGAUCUUAUAAGGUACGUCAUUUUUAACGUUUAAUUUACUUAUAUUGAGCGCAAAUAUUCUCAAUUAACAUGUAACAGAUUCUUUCUCUUAAUUUAUCUUAGCAUACAGAUCUAACAAAUUCGUAAAAUAUUUUACGAGACACAAAUUGUAUGUAGUAUUUUCAACAUGGCGGCGUAUACAACUUCAUAUAUUAUUAACUCCGCCAUUUUUGGGGUACUGUCUGCCCUCGUGAAAGAUUCUAGAAAAUUCGUGAAAGGCGACUUUUAAAAGUUGUACCUGUAAAUUUACCAUUAUACACACAACUACAAUAAUAAGAAGUUGUAUUUCGUGGAGCGGAAACUUUCAAACGUGGGACUACCAGUACCCAAAAAUGGCGGAAAAUCGGCCAAGAGAAAGAAUAGAGGCAAACCAAACAUCCUCUCACCAUAAUUAAACACCUCCCAAGAUCAAUCAACAAAUCCAGCAUCCUCCCAACACUAUCAACCAACUCUCAAAUUCGAUCAACAAAUCCAGCCAUCUACCUAUACAACUAAAAAAAACAAAGUUCAAUCAAUAAAUCCAGCCACCUCCCAACACCAUUAAACAAAUCUCAAGUUUAAUCAACAAAUCCAGGCACCUCCCAACACCACUAAACAACCCCCAAGUUCAUUCAACAAAUCCAGCUGCCUCCCAACACCACUAAACAACUCACAAGUUCAAUCAACAAAUCCAGCCACCUCCCAACACCACAAAAGAACCCUCAAGUUCAAUCAACAAAUGCAGCCACCUCCCAACACUACAAAACAGCCCUCAAGUUCAAUCAACAAAUCCAGCCACCUCCCAACACUACAAAACAACCCCCAAGUUCAGUCAACAAAUCCAGCCUCCUCCCAACACCAUUAAACAAACUCACAAGUUCAAUGAACAAAUCCAGGCUACUCCCAACACUACCAAACAACCCCCAGUUCAAUCAACAAAUCCAGCCUCCUCCCAACACUACCAAACAACCCUCAAGUUCAGUCAACAAAUCCAGCGACCUCCAAACACCACAAAACAACCCCCAAGUUCAAUCAACAAAUCCAGCUUCCUCCCAACACCACAAAACAACCCCAAGGUCAAACAACAAAUCCAGCCUCCUCCAAACACCACAAAACAACCCCCAAGUUCAAUCAACAAAUCCAGCCUCCUCCCAACAUCACAAAACAACCGCAAGUUCAAUGAACAAAUCCAGCCUCCUCCCAACACCAUUAAACAAACUCACAAGUUCAAUGAACAAAUCCAGGCUACUCCCAACACCAUUAAACAACCCCCAAGUUCAAUCAACAAAUCCAGCCUCCUCCCAACACCAUUAAACAAACUCACAAGUUCAAUGAACAAAUCCAGGCUACACCCAACACCAUUAAACAACCCCCAAGUUCAAUCAACAAAUCCAGCCUCCUCCCAACACCAUUAAACAAACUCACAAGUUCAAUGAACAAAUCCAGGCUACUCCCAACACCAUUAAACAACCCCCAAGUUCAAUCAACAAAUCCAGCCUCUUCCCAACUCCAUUAAACAACUCACAAAUUCAAUCAACAAAUCUAGGCACCUCCCAACACCAUUAAACAACCCCCCCCAGUUCGAUCAACAAAUCCAGCAUCCUCCCAACACUACCAAACAACCCUCAAGUUCAGUCAACAAAUCCAGCCUCCUCCCAACAUCUCAAAACAACCACAAGUUCAAACAACAAAUCCAGCCUCCUCCCAACACCAUUAAACAAACUCACAAGUUCAAUGAACAAAUCCAGGCUACUCCCAACACCAUUAAACAACCCCCAAGUUC
This 3671-nucleotide long non-coding RNA is filed under the name Paramuricea clavata. The record is from RNAcentral. Lineage: Eukaryota; Metazoa; Cnidaria; Anthozoa; Malacalcyonacea; Plexauridae.